RNAcentral lists this ribosomal RNA (447 nucleotides) under Yarrowia lipolytica. RNAcentral's name for it is "eukaryotic LSU rRNA". It matches the Rfam family "Eukaryotic large subunit ribosomal RNA", at positions 56 to 526 of the family's 3401-position model. Lineage: Eukaryota; Fungi; Ascomycota; Dipodascomycetes; Dipodascales. The record is from RNAcentral.
AGAACCAACAGGGAUUGCCUCAGUAACGGCGAGUGAAGCGGCAAAAGCUCAAAUUUGAAACCCUCGGGAUUGUAAUUUGAAGAUUUGGCAUUGGAGAAAGCUAACCCAAGUUGCUUGGAAUAGUACGUCAUAGAGGGUGACAACCCCGUCUGGCUAACCGUUCUCCAUGUAUUGCCUUAUCAAAGAGUCGAGUUGUUUGGGAAUGCAGCUCAAAGUGGGUGGUAAACUCCAUCUAAAGCUAAAUACUGGUGAGAGACCGAUAGCGAACAAGUACUGUGAAGGAAAGGUGAAAAGAACUUUGAAAAGAGAGUGAAAUAGUAUGUGAAAUUGUUGAUAGGGAAGGAAAUGAGUGGAGAGUGGCCGAGGUUUCAGCCGCCCCUCGUGGGCGGUGUACUGCCGACGCCGAGUCAUCGAUAGCGAGACGAGGGUUACAAAUGGGAGCGCCUU